This 225-nucleotide long non-coding RNA is filed under the name Brassica napus (rape). Its description in RNAcentral is "long non-coding RNA (BNAP_LNC022695)". Lineage: Eukaryota; Viridiplantae; Streptophyta; Magnoliopsida; Brassicales; Brassicaceae. The record is from RNAcentral.
CAAAAUCUUGAGAGUAUUGGAGGCGACAUAGAUUGGUUCUCAUCUCUUGUUAGCAAAAUGAGCUAGCAUUUGGGAAUAGUGAGAGGGGUUUGUGUGUUCUAAAUUUCAAUAUCUUAGGUUUGGGGAGUAAGAAAUAUGAGAAAGAUGAACGAAAGAGUGUCAAUAGAAAAGAAAACUCUAGGGACAAAAGAAAAGUAUGAAGCCCUAGAUUAUGUACAAAAGAAC